GAUGAAGAACGUAGCGAAAUGCGAUAAGUAAUGUGAAUUGCAGAAUUCAGUGAAUCAUCGAAUCUUUGAACGCACAUUGCGCCCCCUGGAAUUCCGGGGGGCAUGCCUGUUCGAGCGUCUCAGGGACGAACCCUCGCGCGGGUGUACGCGCGGUCGUGGCUGCGGUGGCGUGCCCGAGGCGGCGGCCACCGCGCUGGAAUCCAUGGGCGGACGCCUGCCGCGUGGCCGAGCGUGGUAUGACGCAUUGGCGCUCGCACGCGGCGAGGCUGCCAGCCCUGGCCCGUCUGUCGGGCGGGGGAGAGCAAGACACGUGAACUCCUCGAAUCAGGUAGGGAUACCCGCUGAACUUAAGCAUAUCAAUAAGCGGAGGA
This 371-nucleotide unclassified non-coding RNA is filed under the name soil metagenome. RNAcentral's name for it is "partial contains 5.8S ribosomal RNA, internal transcribed spacer 2, and large subunit ribosomal RNA". The stretch from base 1 to 120 matches the Rfam family "5.8S ribosomal RNA", at positions 35 to 154 of the family's 154-position model. The record is from RNAcentral.